This 253-nucleotide ribosomal RNA is filed under the name uncultured bacterium. Its description in RNAcentral is "partial 16S ribosomal RNA". It matches the Rfam family "Bacterial small subunit ribosomal RNA", at positions 524 to 776 of the family's 1533-position model. The record is from RNAcentral.
UACGUAGGGGGCGAGCGUUGUCCGGAUUUACUGGGCGUAAAGAGCGCGCAGGCGGUCGGAUAAGUCGAAUGUGAAAGCCCCCGGCUCAACUGGGGAGGGUCAUUCGAUACUGUUCGACUCGAAGGCAGGAGAGGGAAGUGGAAUUCCCGGUGUAGUGGUGAAAUGCGUAGAUAUCGGGAGGAACACCAGUGGCGAAGGCGACUUCCUGGCCUGUUCUUGACGCUGAGGCGCGAAAGCUAGGGGAGCAAACGGG